Molecule: non-coding RNA, 27 nt
Filed under: Rattus norvegicus (Norway rat)
Lineage: Eukaryota; Metazoa; Chordata; Mammalia; Rodentia; Muridae
Source: RNAcentral
UAUCUGGUGAGAAUAAUUGGCCAGGAG